AUUGAACGCUGGCGGCAUGCUUUACACAUGCAAGUCGAACGGCAGCGCGGGGCAACCUGGCGGCGAGUGGCGAACGGGUGAGUAAUAUAUCGGAACGUACCCAGAAGUGGGGGAUAACGUAGCGAAAGUUACGCUAAUACCGCAUACGAUCUACGGAUGAAAGUGGGGGACCUUCGGGCCUCAUGCUUGUGGAGCGACCGAUAUCUGAUUAGCUAGUUGGUAGGGUAAAGGCCUACCAAGGCGACGAUCAGUAGCUGGUCUGAGAGGACGACCAGCCACACUGGGACUGAGACACGGCCCAGACUCCUACGGGAGGCAGCAGUGGGGAAUUUUGGACAAUGGGCGCAAGCCUGAUCCAGCAAUGCCGCGUGAGUGAAGAAGGCCUUCGGGUUGUAAAGCUCUUUUGUCAGGGAAGAAACGGCGAUUUCUAAUACAGAUUGCUAAUGACGGUACCUGAAGAAUAAGCACCGGCUAACUACGUGCCAGCCGCCGCAGUAA
Molecule: ribosomal RNA, 498 nt
Filed under: uncultured bacterium
Lineage: Bacteria
Description: partial 16S ribosomal RNA
Rfam family: Bacterial small subunit ribosomal RNA
Source: RNAcentral